Molecule: non-coding RNA, 7525 nt
Organism: Pseudopodoces humilis (Tibetan ground-tit)
Lineage: Eukaryota; Metazoa; Chordata; Aves; Passeriformes; Paridae
Source: RefSeq, a predicted model, not a curated record
CUGCCACGAAGUGCGGACGGCGUUCCAGCUGCGGCAGAUCGGGCCACUCAAGCUGGUCCCCGACGUGCCCACGGCCGAGUCAGAUUUACAGAUCUGUCAACACAGGGCACCAACAUGUUGCACCAAAAAAAUGGAAGAAAGCUACCAGGCAGCUGUCCGAAGGGAGAGGACUCAGAGCAUCCAGGCACUGAACUUUGAGCUGAAGUACAUGAUAGUUGGUCACAUCACAGCUUUUCAAGAGGCGUUUGAGUCUUUGCUUCGCUUUGCUGAAAACCGCACGAGUUCCCUGUUUGAGACAGCUUACAGACCUAUGGCAAAAGAAGCAGCAGAGCCUGUUAAGGAGCUUUUUACAGACAUCUCUCUCUACAUUCUGGGCGCAGAGACCACAGUGGAAAGUGCAGUACUGCGGUUCUUUGACAGUCUCUUUCCUCUGGUGUACAGCCGGCUAAUAAACCCAGGAAUUACAGAUCUGUCAGAGGACUAUACGGAGUGUCUGCGGCUUACAAGGCAAGACAUAAAUCCUUUUGGACACUAUUCUAAAAACAUGGUUACAGAGCUGUCAAAAUCUCUUUGGGCCAGCAGGAUGCUGAGCCAGGCCCUGAGCCUGGGCAUUGAAGUGAUAAAUACUACUGAGCACGCCGCUGUGAGCAAGGAGUGCAGCAGAGCCCUGGUGAAGAUGCAGUACUGCCCGCACUGCCAGGGCCUGACGCUCAUCAGGCCCUGUGUGGGAUAUUGUCUCAAUGUCAUGAGGGGCUGCCUGGCCAGCGUGGCAGAGCUGGAUGCACAGUGGAGGGAGUUCAUCUCCACGCUGGAAUAUCUGACUAAUGAAAUGGCAGCCUCCCACGAGCUGGAGAUUGCUCUGUCGGGGAUCUGGAGCUCCGUCAACGAGGCCAUCCUGCACGCGCAGCUGAACGGGCCGCAGCUCUCUGCUACGGUUGAUAAAGUGUGUGGCCAGCCCAAGCAGCAAGAAGGGAACCUGUCAUCAGCCAAUAUUGUACCAGUGAAGGAAGUGACUGAAACCCAGACAUUUGUGAUGGCUCACACCAGCCUGAACAAUAAAAGAAGUUCUCUGCCUCUGAAAGCUUCAAAGAAUGACAAAUCAAGAAGUUUGAAAAAAAUCUCUCGAGAGUUCAUCAAUUACAUGAAGCGAUCCCGAACCUUUUAUGCCUCUGUAGCAGAAAGGCUUUGUGAUGGAGACCUGGUGAUGAGAGACAGCUCAACCUGCUGGAAUGGAGAGGAUGUUGUAGAAAGUUAUACCAGCAGAGUUGUUUCCAACGGACUAAAGGCACAAAUUAAUAAUCCAGAACUGAAAGUCAAAGGAUUGGACCCACUCAUCAACAAUUUAAUUGAUAAACUUAAGCACUUCAAUCAACUGGAUGCUGAGAAGGCAAAGUCGAAGCUGGAGCGAUGGGGUCCCCGAGACGCUGGCAGUGGGGAUGGAAGGAGUGAGGAGAUGGAGUCAAGUGGAGAUUGUGAUGAUGAGGAUGGCUGCCAAGGAUCCGGGGACAGGAUGCACACAGCAGAUGUACUCAAGGACAAGAAAACCCAUCCAGAAAACAGAAACGAACUAAAACCAACCGUGAAAAAGAUUGACACCACAACCACCACAAGCAUUGUCAAGUCAUCCUCCAAACACAGUGUAACUGGAAAUGGGAGCAGCCCAGCCCUGAGUCCCUCCCUCGCUGUUCUGGCAGCACUGGCAGCUCUGUGGCUCUGUCCCCUGUAGCUGCAUUGCCCUGCAGAUGCUGUGCUAGUGCUCCUGUUCACUGUCAUUGAUACCUGCAGCCUUACCCGGCGGGAAACAAAUGGAAAUGGCUCUCUAGUUGAUGUGAUUUGUUAGGAUAAAUAAGAAGUGAAAUGCUGGAGUUGGCAGAUACCAAGUGUCAUCACUUAAAAUGUCUGAAGAUAGCCUUUGGCAAAGCCCACCCAAGGUACAGCGAGGAUGAUCACAAGGGUCUGAGUAGCUUAAGUUAUGGGGUAGAAAUAACUGAAAACACAGAAAUUGUGUAUGUGUGCGUUACUGUUUUUAUCGAUUUCGUUCGCUAGACUCUGACUGGCUGUUUUUUGUUUAAUUUUUCUGGUAAGUUAUAUGAGCGGUCAGUCUUCAAAUUCAAGGCAAUCCAAACUUUGUUUUUUUAGUGAACAGCUAACAAGCUGUGCUACAGUUCAUAGAAUCCCAGAAUGUUGUGGGGCUGGGAUGGACCUUAAAGAUCAGCGAGUGCCAGCCCCGGUACCAGGUUGCUCCCUGUAUGGUGAAGAGCUCUCUACCAGCUUGGUGAAAUUCCUGAAUGGUCAAGAAGAUCAAAGCAUGUUUGAAACUUCUGUUCACUCUUACUGUUUAGAUUGUAGGAAGCGACAUAAAAACAUAUGGUGUGUCUAAUAUAUCAGUAUAGUUGCCUUAACUGUGGAAAAAAUAGAACCACUUUGUUUACUGAGGGACAUAGAUAGUGAGUUUCCCUGCCCCACAAAAUGUCAUUACCAGAUGCUUAAGCAUAUGCUCAAGGCUUAUUGGAUGAAUGUCCAGCAAAGGGAAACAUAAAUAAACAUAAAAAUGUUUUAUCCACUUGAAUGCAGCUCUGUACAGAAAAGGAAAAAAAAAAAAUUCAGUUCAAACUUACUUUGCCUAUGAGAUGUUACAUAGAAACCAACUUAAGUUUUCCAUAAAGAUCCCAGAGAUAUAAAUUAUUGGGAACUCCCAUUAGACACUAACUAGAUUUUGUGUAUUAUGGAUCUCUGAAAUCAACUGUUUCAUAAACUGUGUAUUAUUUAAUUACAUUUACUGUUUAAAUUUUUUGUAUCACAUUAGGUGUAAAUGUAAAACAUUCUGAAAUCUAGAACAUUCUCUGUUAUGCUUCAUCUUGAUUGCUACCCUAGAAAAUGUCAAAUGUGCAUUAUAUUACAAGGCUAUUUUUUUUAAGUCAAUGAUACAUUGAUGCAUUUUAACUUUUUGGAUGAAAAAGUACUAUAAUAACUUCCAAUGGGUUAAGAGUUGAUGUGUGUUUUCCAACAACUGUUUACAGUGCCAUUGAAUAUAUGUAUACAAACACAACUGUAUUAAUACAGUGAUUAAUAUGAUAAAUAUAUGAAACAUUAGAAUUAUUACAUAACUGUUACAACAUUUAAUGGCCAUUUUCAUGUUGUAGACUAUUCUUAUGUACAGUUUUGUAAGAUUUAAUGUAAAACACUUGCCUUUGGCUUUUUGUAAGACAUCUCUUUGAUAGUUGGCGUUACCCAGUCACUGAGAUUACUCAAAAGAGGAGCCCUGGAUCUCACUAACCAGCUUCAGGCAUUUUAUUGGCACCUUUGAUUCCAGAAGCCUGACUCAAAGAAGGUGCCAUGGGCCAGGAUUACUGCUGGGUGUCACCACACAGGAGGUGACAAUAGUACAGAACAAGCACACAGUAAGUCAACAAAGCUCACUACGCUCACACAUUUCCAGACAGUAUCAGUGAACAUGUCUAAUUAUGUUUGCAAACGUGGGGCUUGAGUUUCAUUUCCAGUUUUGGUUCCGAGAUCAUAUUUAUGACAUAAAGGUAUGAUCAGAGCCAUGGAUGCGCCCAGCUGCAAAGGCAACGUCUCUGAAGUGGCAGCAGCUAAAUUUUCUAAAAGAUAAUUCGAUUUUAGUGUUAUGGAGAUAAAAUGGAGACAAUAUUUACAUUAAGUAUUUUAUAUUUUAACUCUGAUUUUUUCACAACAGUAAGGAUAUUAAUAUCACUAAGGAGUGCUUCCCAGUCCAGUCAGUGAAAAUCAGUUUUCCCAAAAGUAUUGAAGCGGCUGUCCUGUGUUUUCCAGGGUUUGUGAGCUGCACCAAUCUAUGAAACUUUAAUUAAAAAUGCUGUUUCUUGUAUUCAUUUCUGGUGCCCUUUGGAAAAGUGCUGUUUUACCUGUGGAGGCGUGCAGGUCCCAUCGUUUGUGCAGUGGAAGGACUCUGUAAUGCCUGGCAGAAUCCUGCACUGUGAUGUUGAGUCAGACAGGAGCUGUGUGUGCACACACAGAGAUGUACCUGGCUGCUCACACUCAGCACCUGCCCCCCAGCUCACACCAAGCACUGUGGCCUCUCUGCAGCAAUUCCAGCCUGAUUUGGUGUCCUCACGCUGACAGUGCUCAGUCAUCCUUCAGGCCCUGAAAGUGUCAGUCAGAAUUCCUAUGGAUAGGAGUUUCAGGGCUGGACUCCAAUCCUGGCAGAUGUCAGCUGUGCAGUUUGGAGUUCCCAGGUUUUCCUCACCUGCAGAGAGGGAACUCGAACAGCCAGAGCCAGGGGUGUGUCUGAGGUCUGUUCUGGAAAAGGUUUCAGCGGCGAUCUCACCAGCCACGUGUUCAGCAGAAGGCCCCCAGGAGCAAGUAUGUGAUAAUUCACCCAGGGUGUUAUUUGUUGUUGCUAAAUGUCAUCAUUUGGCUAAACAGAAACCUCUGAAAAAUCAAGGGUUUGGAUUUGGGGAUUGGUUGGCAAAUAUUUGUAUUCAUCUCUCAAGCUAAACAUGGCAACCCUUUAAAAGUUUCUAUAACAAAACACAACAAGUUCAACUCAUGGGGUGAGAUAGAAUCAACUCAUUUCCUUGGACUCAAACAAUAUUUUUUUAGGCACAACUUGAUGCAGAAUGAGGGAAGAGGGCUCUACAUCACUUAAUACAUUUCAUGCAAAAACACUUCUACAGUGUAAGAAGAGUACUGGUCAAACCAGCAUGAAAUAUGUUCACAGAGAGCAUCAAAAAUUGUGCCAUUUUAAAGGGCAGUGCAGUUUCUUUUUACUAGUGGUUUAUGAUUAUUUUUUUCCCUCAAGAUCAGUUGCAUUUACAUAUUUCAAAAAGAAUGUUCUCCAUCCAACAAACCAUCUAUACCAGCAUAAGCAAAACCAACUGGCUGUGUCAGAUAAAGGAAGCAUUCAUUUUCAGAUGAAUAAGAUACCUGCUUUACAAAGUCUUAGUUUGUUACCCAGGACACUGUAAUUAUGAUGUAAUUACAAAGGUCUAAAUUCAAAAUACUUUUGAACUUGUAUAUGUAAUCUCAGUGUAAAAUAAGGUACCAGUCUAAGAACAUUGCUGUAGCCUUGCCUAACAGUUAUGAAUUGUAUUUAGCCACUGCUUUCUGAUUGUUUAUUGUUUUGCUAUGACUUUCUUUGAAUAUUUUGCUGUGCCCACAUUUGUGAAUGCCAGCGUUGGAAAGAAACUGCUGUCAUACAUUUGGAGAUAUAUAAAUUGUCCUCAGUGGCCUUUCUGUACAUCUAAUUAGCACCUGUUUGAAUUAUUCUACAGGCUAUGGACAUUUCAUUUAAAAAAUAAAUGCAUUGCUAGUUUUUUCAACUCCUUGCAAAUACACAGUUGUAAAAAUUGCUUUUCAGGGGAAUGAAAAAGCACGUUUUCAUACAUCUUCUGGGUUUAUAAGCUAGGCUGGGCUUUUAGGCUAUUGCACCUAAAAUAGUUACUGACAUUUUAAAUGCAGUUAAAAUGGAAGAAGUCUGAUACCACUUUCCCAUAAUUAAGUAUGGUAUCCCAGAUUUGUAGCCUGAUUUAUACAGUAAUGAAAAAGAAAAUCAGUAAGACUUCAAGAAUAUAGAUACAAGUGUCAUUUUAUAUUUCUGUAUACGCAUAUACAGUUCAGAAGUUGAGAACACUGUGUUGAACUUGUGGAAAUUAAGCCAGAUUGCUUCAAUCUUGCAAGGAAGCUUCUAGGUAAAUAGUAAUUUUCUAUUUAAAUGCACAGAAUACUGAGAAAGAUAAUUUGAUCUUUCUAAAAAGAAGAUCUGAACAAACUGUUUACAAUCUCCUCACAUACAAAAUCGAGAAAUCAAAAAUAAAGAUAAUUUCUGGAGGUAUGAAACAUUGGAACAGAUUUUCAGCUCCUAUAAAUCAGUGUAGUUCCUUUGAUUUUAGUUUAAUAAUGUAAAUUUACCCUGACGUAUAUAUCUAGCCCAAGAAUUGGAAUUCCUGCCCAUCUUUUUGCAGAAAAUCAAGAGUAACUGCAGGGAUUACAAAAUUUGCUUAACUUUUGCAUUGCCCCCACCACUGAUGAGACCGUGUCUCGUGUCUGUAACACAGAUCUGGAUGACAUGGGAUGCCCUAAAUCUUCUGGCAUUUUCCCUUUCUAGGGCACAGCAGGGGCCUUUUCCAGAAGCAAUUGGUACUACACCUUGUAGCUGGACUACAGGGAGAUAUUUAUUCUGUGAGUAUCUCCUGGGGUAGAGAUUCUUUCUCAGAGAAGGUUUGCUGAUACAGAUCAAGCUUUGAGGCAGAUCAAGCCUGAUUUUUCUGUUUCAUGUUAAAACAGGAUCCAGGUCUUGAACUGGUCUCAAAAAUGAAGAGAGACUUGUUGGAGAAGACUGAUGGUGUCUUUGAUGUCUUCAGGGAAGCUUACACAGCACAGGGGACAAGCAGCUGUGUUCUGCCUCAGCUGAAGCUUGUGUGUCUUUGCAUUCAGUUUCAGGUAAAAUUAUACAGGAGAUUCCAGAUUAGCAAAAUGACAAAUUCCUGAGUUACUACCACCUGAUGUUUUAUACUAAAGAACUGAAAUUUCUUCCUAAGCAGAAACAAACAUUAUUCUGUAUUAUGCUAAAUAUUCAACCUUGGAAGGAAAUCAAAGCAGGAUGUUAGGCCUCACAAAGACCUCGAACCCCUGAGUGGGGUGUCAAGACUUUACUUGAUGGUCAUGGAAGAGCACCUCUACCCUUUACUUCUGUUUUGAGGCUAGAAAAAACCCUCAGGUUUAUGGCUCACCGCUACAAACCAUGUGUAGGCAAAAGCUGUAGACAAGUCCACAAAGCAGUUGUGCAGCCAGUGGGGGUCUCAUUGAAAAAUGAGAAGGUGCAUUUAAGUGAUUUAUUUGAGCUUUUGCAUUAGGGACGAGCAACAGGGUUGAAACCUCCUCCCAACACACUGCAGCUGCAGAUGGGAGCAGGCUGUUGGAGCAGCAAUACUACAGAAAAUGUUUAUUGUAUCCCACUUAUUCUAUGGAGCCCUGUUGGAAUAAAAAUGGAAGCCAGCACACCAAACCUUGCAAUUUGUGUUGCAUAAUACAGCUACUUGCUGUUCUUUGGUAUCAGAACUAACACAGCAUCAAUGUUUACACUACACUGGGAUAGAGACUCCAGUAAAAUAUGUGCUUUGCCAUUUAGCUUUUAAAUAACUAGUUUAUGGCCUCCUACUCUAUUUUAGUUCAUUUUACUUUACACGAAUUAAUAGGCUGCUCCAUUUGUAUCUUACAUUAGUCGUAUCUUGGGCAUUUUAAGUUCCAAAAUAGAUUGGUUUUGCCUUAAGCUGUAUUCAAACUCUUAAUACAUAUUUCUAUUUCCCAAACACGUGUUUUAUUUGCAGUAUAUCUGCUUAUAUUUUUAUUGCAUAAAUUUGUCAGUUUUCUUCAGUUUGUUUUCAGCAUUCAAUACAAUAAAGGCAAUUUAAAGAUACAGUCUGAAAACAAUGUCUUAAAAGAAGAACAAGGUUACUUUGAAAAGUUAAACAGCGUGCUUUGUAAAAGACAGUGAACUGUGAUUGAGAAUAAAAAUAAAUACUCCACAGCAGGAAAUUGUCAUUGU